This 843-nucleotide ribosomal RNA is filed under the name Streptomyces sp. 35bA. Its description in RNAcentral is "bacterial SSU rRNA". It matches the Rfam family "Bacterial small subunit ribosomal RNA", at positions 64 to 919 of the family's 1533-position model. The record is from RNAcentral. Lineage: Bacteria; Bacillati; Actinomycetota; Actinomycetes; Kitasatosporales; Streptomycetaceae.
GAACGAUGAACCGCUUUCGGGCGGGGAUUAGUGGCGAACGGGUGAGUANUNCGUGGGCAAUCUGCCCUGCACUCUGGGACAAGCCCUGGAAACGGGGUCUAAUACCGGAUACUCACUGCCUUGGGCAUCCUUGGNGGUGGAAAGCUCCGGCGGUGCAGGAUGAGCCCGCGGCCUAUCAGCUAGUUGGUGAGGUAAUGGCUCACCAAGGCGACGACGGGUAGCCGGCCUGAGAGGGCGACCGGCCACACUGGGACUGAGACACGNNCNAAANUUAUACGGGAGGCAGCAGUGGGGAAUAUUGCACAAUGGGCGAAAGCCUGAUGCAGCGACGCCGCGUGAGGGAUGACGGCCUUCGGGUUGUAAACCUCUUUCAGCAGGGAAGAAGCGAGAGUGACGGUACCUGCAGAAGAAGCGCCGGCUAACUACGUGCCAGCAGCCGCGGUAAUACGUAGGGCGCAAGCGUUGUCCGGAAUUAUUGGGCGUAAAGAGCUCGUAGGCGGCUUGUCACGUCGGUUGUNAAAGCCCGGGGCUUAACCCCGGGUCUGCAGUCGAUACGGGCAGGCUAGAGUUCGGUAGGGGAGAUCGGAAUUCCUGGUGUAGCGGUGAAAUGCGCAGAUAUCAGGAGGAACACCGGUGGCGAAGGCGGAUCUCUGGGCCGAUACUGACGCUGAGGAGCGAAAGCGUGGGGAGCGAACAGGAUUAGAUACCCUGGUAGUCCACGCCGUAAACGGNGGGCACUAGGUGUGGGCAACAUUCCACGUUGUCCGUGCCGCAGCUAACGCAUUAAGUGCCCCGCCUGGGGAGUACGGCCGCAAGGCUAAAACUCAAAGGAAUUGACGGGGG